This 529-nucleotide ribosomal RNA is filed under the name Sarocladium sp. Its description in RNAcentral is "eukaryotic LSU rRNA". The stretch from base 157 to 310 matches the Rfam family "5.8S ribosomal RNA". Lineage: Eukaryota; Fungi; Ascomycota; Sordariomycetes; Hypocreales; Sarocladiaceae. The record is from RNAcentral.
CUAGGCUCUCCAACCCAUUGUGAACUUACCAAACGUUCCCUCGGCGGGCUCAGCGCGCGGCGGCCUCCGGGCCUCCGGGCGUCCGCCGGGGAAAACCAAACCCUGAUUUAAUCGUAUUUCUCUGAGGGGCGAAAGCCCGAAAACAAAAUGAAUCAAAACUUUCAACAACGGAUCUCUUGGCUCUGGCAUCGAUGAAGAACGCAGCGAAAUGCGAUAAGUAAUGUGAAUUGCAGAAUUCAGUGAAUCAUCGAAUCUUUGAACGCACAUUGCGCCCGCCGGCACUCCGGCGGGCAUGCCUGUCCGAGCGUCAUUUCAACCCUCAGGCCCACCCUUCCGGGGGAGCGGGCCUGGUGCUGGGGAUCGGCGGCCCUCGCGGCCCCCGUCCCUCAAAUUCAGUGGCGGUCGCGCCGCAGCCUCCCCUGCGUAGUAGCACAACCUCGCACCGGAGAGCGGAACGACCACGCCGUGAAACCCCCAAUUUUUCAAGGUUGACCUCGGAUCAGGUAGGAAUACCCGCUGAACUUAAGCA